This is a long non-coding RNA of Lingula anatina, 251 nucleotides long. The record is from RefSeq and is a predicted model, not a curated record. NCBI's taxonomy places the organism in Eukaryota, Metazoa, Brachiopoda, Lingulata, Lingulida, Lingulidae.
CUUGUCUUCCGGGAUGGACUGGAGAUCUGUGUGACCAACCCCAGGGCUCCGGUUGUAAUAAACAGUGCUAUAACGGCGGGGUCCUGAACCAGAAUACGUGUGAAUGUAUAUGUCCGCCCGGAUGUGAUGGAGCCUUAUGUCAAUUUGUAAAUGAUAUAUGCCAUCGAACGUGUCAAAAUGGCGGAACCUUCGUUCCCGUUUUGUGCAAGUGUCAUUGUCCCAGAGAAUACACGGGGGAACUUUGUGAAAAC